GCGGGGCUGCAGGGGUGGGACUUCCUGUCGGGGAGAUUUCUCGCUCUCAGGAAGAACCCGGGCACAGAUUCCGCCGGUAACCUAGUGAGUCUGACGGACCCCAAGUUGAGAAGAUGGCUGAUCCUUGGCAGGAAUGCAUGGAUUAUGCAGUAACCCUAGCAAGAGAAGCUGGAGAGGUGGUUCGUGAAGCUAUAAAAAGUGAAAUGAAUGUCAUGAUUAAAAGUUCUCCAGCUGAUUUGGUAACUGCUACUGACCAAAAAAUUGAGAAAAUGCUUAUAUCUGCCAUAAAGGAAAAGUAUCCAUCUCACAGUUUCAUUGGUGAGGAAUCUGUGGCAGCUGGGGAAAAAAGUGUCUUAACUGACAGCCCUACAUGGAUCAUUGACCCUAUUGAUGGAACAACGAAUUUUGUACAUAGGUUUCCUUUUGUAGCUGUUUCGAUUGGCUUUACUGUAAAUAAAAAGAUGGAAUUUGGAGUUGUAUACAGUUGCCUGGAGGAUAAGAUGUAUACUGGCAGGAAAGGAAAGGGAGCCUUUUGUAAUGGUCAAAAACUACAGGUUUCACAACAGGAAGAUAUUACCAAAUCACUUUUGGUGACAGAGUUUGGCUCUUCCAGAACACCAGAGACUGUAAGAAUUGUUCUUUCUAAUCUGGAAAAGCUUUUGUGCAUUCCUAUUCAUGGGAUCCGAGGUGUUGGGACAGCAGCUGUUAAUAUGUGCCUUGUGGCAACUGGAGUUGCAGAUGCAUAUUAUGAAAUGGGAAUUCACUGCUGGGAUAUGGCAGGAGCUGGCAUUAUUGUUACUGAAGCUGGUGGAGUACUAAUGGAUGUGACAGUGAAGAGUGAACCUGGGCCGAAAGAUAUUCACUUGUGAUCUGGGAGAAAGGCAAUGAAGAAAUAAGGAAAUGGGAAGGAGAGAUACGAAAAUGCUGUGCUGUGGAGUCAAAUUUCCUGUCCAUAGAUUCCCAAGCAUGAAAGAGGUGGGCCAUUUGACUUGAUGUCACGAAGAAUAAUUGCUGCAAAUAGUAAAACAUUAGCAGAAAGGAUAGCCAAAGAAAUUCAGGUGAUACCACUUCAAAGAGACGAUGAAGAGUAAUUGCAACAGCCCCACAUAUUCAAUCACAGCUGCAUUUCCCCAUAUUUGCUGACACACUGAUGGUGUUAUAAAAUUUAGGACAUUUAUUUCAGAUGUAUAAUAUGGUUGGUUUAAAUUGUCUUUGAUAUCCAGAUUAAAAAAUUACAGUGUUGUAUAUUUUACUAAGAUAGGGUAUGAAAGAAGAGCUGAAAUAUUUCAUUGUUUUAAAAAUUCUGCGUGUAAGAGUAUACUUUGGGGAAAAACAGGUAGUUGAGACAAGGUAUCAAUCACAUCAACUGAAAUAGUUUCUAAGUGUAUAUGAGCCUCUGAAAUUUUGACUGUACAUUAAGCAUUCUUAAUUAGGUAACUUUUUGGAAAAAAUUUUCUUUAGUUCCCAAAGCCAUAUUUAAUUAAAUUUGUAAGUAUAUAAUGGGUACUUCCUAGACCAAGGUUUUUUUCUUUUCAGAGAACCUAGUUUUAUUCUACACACAGCAUCUGUCAAAUAUGGGCAAUUCAAAAACAAGCAUUGAGAGAAUAAAUAUUUUGGAGGUAGCAAUUCCUAGUUAUAACAUAUAUAAAGUAAUGAGCUCACCACCCUUUAUUUUUACUUUAGGUUUUGAAGUAAAAAUGAUCUCAUCAUCGUUUUCAUAUUUUACAUUAUCAUUCCUUUUAACAUUUCACAUUGCCACACCAUUUCAAUUACCGUAUUGCCAGAUACCAUUUCUAAUUGUGGGCAUUUCUGCAGUUAAUAUAUUUUCCAAGACCCUGCAUUACAGUAUUUGUUUGGAUUCUCUUAAAGACCCUAUGUAAAAAAGGGGUUUCAAAAAAGCAUUCUCAUCAGGUAUCUACUUUUCUACUAUAGUACAAUAAAAUUGUACUAAAUUCAAUAUUCAUGUUUUAAAGAUCUUCAUAUUAACCUGGUUGUGCACAGGAAACCUAGAACCUGGCAGAUAUACUGUACUAUUAAUACUAAACUUUGUUUUUUCCCCCAAACUCCUUAAUUUCUUUGCCACCAGUACUCAGUCUUAAAAUAUUCCUUAAUAGUCUUUGGCUUAUGAAACUCAAAGAAAACUGUUCUAGUUCAUAGAUAUUUUAAAAGGUUAAUUGACUGCUUCGCCUUGUCCCUGGGCACUUGAACAGAGUAUUAAGUUUUGUUAUGGUCUCAUGUGAGCCUUAUAUUUGAUAGAAUGAAAAGUGCAUCUAUAAAGUAGGAGGUUAUUUUAUUGUGCACAUCUAAUAUAUUUAAAAAUAUACUAAGAUUUGAGUAUUGUAUUUGUACUGUUGGUCAUGUGCAGUAAAAAUAACUUGUACUAUAUUCCUCUAUGGUUAAUUUUUCAAUUAAAAUUUAUUUUAAUUAAGACUAAUGAAUAAAAUUUUAAAUAAGUAUGAUUGAACAUUGUUAAAGUUUAUAAUUUAAAGUACUUCUAGGGGUUUUGUGUUGAGUUGUAUAUAUUUGACAUCUGCGGUUGUGAUUGAAUAUAUGUUCUUGGGGGGGUUUUUUGCCAGUUUUCCCAGCUUUUCUGAAAGACUUGAUUUUUUUAUUCUAAAUGCAACUAGGUAAUUUGUGGCUGAAAUUUCUUUGGACAUUGAAAAAGGAUUGACAAGUGAGUUAUCCAAUAAUAGUUUGAAAAUUUGAGUAACAGAAGUCCAUCUCUCCAACUCUUAGCAGUUUCUUCUAGUCUUUACAUCCAUCUUUUUAAAGAUGGAUAUAUUCUGUUACAUAUUUAUUGGCUUUAUUCAUUAUCUGUUAACUUGCUGUUAUAGAAGAUGAGGAUUUUGUACUUUUAACUCACCCAUGAGUUACCUUUACCUCUUCCUUUUCAUCCUCCUAGUAUAGUAAUAUCUUUCUUGUUAAAUUUAUAUUCAGUGUUUAACUUAGGACUUUUAUUCACUGGUUAACUAGUAUGUUAUGAUUAUAUUUUCUUUCCUGUGCAACUUUUGUUCUUCUUGAAAUUAACACAUUUUCCCCAGGAUUGUAAAACCUCUUUAUUUUCUACUUGUCUAACCCUAAUCAGGUAUUCUGUUCUAUUAGCACUGUUUUCUUUUCCUCCUAUAGGUAGACUUUUUGGUGCCCUUUUCCUUUUCUUCCAGUGUGAAUUGGUUACUGGCUAAGUGUGCUGCGUAGCAGUCCUCCUGGAGCUUCUCUUACAUUCAGUCAUCUGUGUCCUUGAUCUUCCUGCUCAUUCCCUCAUUUUGGUGAGCCCCUCUUCCAGGUACUUAGAGGUAAAAUUUUGAAAUCUCACAAGAAAAUGUCUAUUCCUUCAUUAAUAGUUUGGCUAGUUCUAGAAUGCUAGCUUGAAAACAGUUUUCCCUCAGAAUUUAGGAUGAGAAGUCUUUUAAUUUUCAAUCCAUUAAGUCUUUUAUUGAAGAUUUUAGAAAACUCCAGAAAUCAAAAGAAAAUCCUAAAUUUCCUGGUGAUAAGAUGUCUUUUUUUUUCCCCCCAAUCCAUUGUGCUAAUUCUCAUCCUUUCAUUCUGGAAAGUUCAAGUCCUUUAGUGUUUUCUUUUAUAGUUUCCUCCCUUCCUCAUUCUCUGUCCUCUCUUCCUGGAAUUUUUCUUAUUCAGGUGUUGGACCUCCUAGAUUUAUCCUCUUAUUUCUUCUGUUUAACAUCUCUUUCCAUUUGUUUAUAAGGGACUUCCUUAACUUUAUCUUCCAACCCUUUUAUUCACUUUUUUAAUGUUAUGCUAUCCCUUGAUUCUAUCCCUGGCAUUAUUCCUUGAAGGUUCUUCACUUUCCAAGGUUUUUUGUUAUGAAAAUAAUAUUAAAAUUUGUGGGUACAGGUCAAGCACUGCCUACAGGGAAAUCUAUAGCCUUAAACGCAAGGUACAAAAUAAAACAACAAAAAAACCCAAACAAACAGUACAAGGAUUGAUUGGAGAAAUAAAACUAAUUCACUGAUUCCCCA
Mirounga angustirostris (Northern elephant seal) is the source of this 3974-nucleotide RNA transcript. It is a transcript of the gene named inositol monophosphatase 1, with no coding region annotated. NCBI's taxonomy places the organism in Eukaryota, Metazoa, Chordata, Mammalia, Carnivora, Phocidae. The record is from RefSeq and is a predicted model, not a curated record. The transcript has 10 exons.